GUGUUUGGAAUGGUCUCGUUAGCU
Non-coding RNA from Drosophila melanogaster (fruit fly), 24 nucleotides. NCBI's taxonomy places the organism in Eukaryota, Metazoa, Arthropoda, Insecta, Diptera, Drosophilidae. The record is from Ensembl.